CUUGCUUUUGAUGGGCGUCGACCGGCGCACGGGUGCGUAACGCGUAUGCAACCUACCUUGAAGAGGGGGACAACAGUUGGAAACGACUGCUAAUACCGCAUGAAGCAUAGGGGUCGCAUGAUCUUUAUGCCAAAGAUUUAUCGCUUCAAGAUGGCCUCGCGUCUGAUUAGCUAGUUGGCGGGGUAACGGCCCACCAAGGCGACGAUCAGUAGCCGGACUGAGAGGUUGAACGGCCACAUUGGGACUGAGAUACGGCCCAGACUCC
Molecule: ribosomal RNA, 265 nt
Filed under: uncultured Oscillibacter sp.
Lineage: Bacteria; Bacillati; Bacillota; Clostridia; Eubacteriales; Oscillospiraceae
Description: partial 16S ribosomal RNA
Rfam family: Bacterial small subunit ribosomal RNA
Source: RNAcentral